This 114-nucleotide ribosomal RNA is filed under the name Nanobdellota archaeon. Lineage: Archaea; Nanobdellati; Nanobdellota. The record is from RNAcentral.
UGAGACGGCCAUAGUAAUCUGGUCACACCUGAUCUCAUUCCGAACUCAGAAGUUAAGAAGAUUACGUUUUAUGUUGUACUGUUGAACAAAUGGGAAGCAUAAAAGCUGUCUUAC